AUAGCACUGAUAAUUAUACAAUAUCAGUGUUGAUUUUGAACUUCUAAUGGAUUAAAAGGUACAUGAUUUCUUUUCCUUAGCAAGAUACAUCAGAGAUAUUUGAUCCCAUUGUAUCUAAAAGUUUUGUAAUAAUUUGAAUUGCAUAUUUGUCAUCUAUUAUUGCUUUUGUAAAGUCAACAAGUCUUUCACAAACCCAUCUACUCAUUUCUUCCUACUAAUGUUUUGCCCGUUUACAUUAUGAAAUGUAUGGAAUGAACUAUAUAAAGCUGUCACCAUCAAUGUUUUUAUCUGGUAAUAUUAAAUAUUUUUUAACAAAACAGA
This is a long non-coding RNA of Myotis brandtii (Brandt's bat), 321 nucleotides long. RefSeq lists it as uncharacterized. Lineage: Eukaryota; Metazoa; Chordata; Mammalia; Chiroptera; Vespertilionidae. The record is from RefSeq and is a predicted model, not a curated record. The transcript has 2 exons.